MicroRNA precursor from Gorilla gorilla gorilla (western lowland gorilla), 99 nucleotides. Lineage: Eukaryota; Metazoa; Chordata; Mammalia; Primates; Hominidae. The record is from Ensembl.
GAGGUGGGAGGAUCGCUUGAACUCGGGAGGUGGAGGUUGCAGUGAGCUGAGAUCAUGCCACUGCACUCCAGCCUGAGUGACAGAGCAAAACCCUGUCUC